GGCCCUACGGGAGGCAGCAGUGAGGAAUAUUGGUCAAUGGGCGGAAGCCUGAACCAGCCAAGUCGCGUGAGGGAUUAAGGCCCUGCGGGUCGUAAACCUCUUUUGCCGGGGAGCAGUGGUCCGGACGCGUCCGGACCGGGAGAGUACCCGGAGAAAAAGCAUCGGCUAACUCCGUGCCAGCAGCCGCGGUAAUACGGAGGAUGCGAGCGUUAUCCGGAUUUAUUGGGUUUAAAGGGUGCGUAGGCGGAAUGCCAAGUCAGCGGUAAAAUCGCGGGGCUCAACCUCGCUCCGCCGUUGAAACUGGC
This 305-nucleotide ribosomal RNA is filed under the name uncultured bacterium. RNAcentral describes it as "bacterial SSU rRNA". It matches the Rfam family "Bacterial small subunit ribosomal RNA", at positions 334 to 637 of the family's 1533-position model. The record is from RNAcentral.